GGAGUUUAAUUUAAUUAUUAAUUAAGUUUAUUUUUAAAUUUAAUUGUUGAAGUAAAAUUUAUAAAAAUAAUUUUUUGAAUUAUAAAUUAAGUAAUGAAAGUGAAUUUUUAAAUAAGAUUAAAAGUAAAUUUAAUUUAUUAUACCUUUUGUAUCAGGGGUAAUUAAUUAUAAUAUUUAAAUAAAAAUAUAUCUCGAAUUUAAAAGAUUUAAUUAAAAAUUUUAAGUUAUUGUUAAAUUAUUAUUAUUAAUUUUUAAUUAGAAAUGAAAUGUUAAUCGAUUUUAAAUAUAUCUAGUUUUUUUAGAAUUGAAUUUAAUUCAGCUUUAAAAUUAAAUUUAUUAAUUUUUUUUAAUUUAUUAAAUUAUUUUAAAGUAAUUAUAUUCGGGAUAAAUUGAAUAUAAAAAUUAUAAAUUAAUUUAAUUAUUAUUAAUUUUAUAAGUGGUAAUAAAAUUAUAUUUCUUUAUAAAAAAUGUUAAAAUUUAUAUUAAAAUAUUUUUUAUUAAAAUUUAUUUUUAAUUUUAAUUAUUUAUAAAAAAAUUAAUAAUUAAUAAAAUUUUAUAAGUUAUAAUGAUUAUAUUAGUAAUGGAUUUUUGUUUAAUUAAUUUAUAACUAUAAAAUUAUUAUAUUAAUUUAAGGAAUUUAGCAAAUAAUUAUUUAUAAAAUAAUUUAUUAUAAUAUAUAAAUAUAUAUAUAUAUAUAAUAUAUAUAUUUACCUGUUUAUCAAAAACAUGUCUUAUUGAUUAAAAUAAUAAGUCAAUUCUGCCCAUUGAAAUAAUUAAAAGGCUGCAGUAUAUUAACUGUACAAAGGUAGCAAAAUCAAUAGUUUUUUAAUUGGAAACUUGAAUGAAAGAAUUCAUAAAAUAUAAACUGUCUCAAAUUAAUUAAAAUUGAAUUUAAAUUUAAAGUUAAAAUGCUUUAAUAAAUUUAUUAGACGAUAAGACCCUAAGAAUUUAAUAAUAUUAUUUAUUAAUUUAAUUGUGUAAUUUUAAUUUAUUAUAAAAAAUAUUAGUUUAUUGGGAGGGUAAUUAAAAAUUUUGAACUUUAAUUUUUAUAGAACAUAGAUAAUUGAAUUUUUAAAGAUAAUUAUUAUAAUUAUAAGAAUUAAUUACCUUAGGGAUAACAGCGUAAUAAUUUUGGAAAGUUCAUAUUGAUAAAAUUGUUUGCGACCUCGAUGUUGAAUUAAAAUAAAAAUUAAGUGUAGAAGCUUAAAAUUUUAGUCUGUUCGACUAUUAAAAUUUUACAUGAUUUGAGUUCAGAUCGGUGUGAGCCAGAUCGGAUUUUAUCUAUAAUUAAAAUUUAUUUUAUUGUACGAAAGGACUUAAAAUGAAAAAUAUUUUUUAAAUAAAUUGAAUUUAAUUAAUUAUUUUAAUAUUAUU
Molecule: ribosomal RNA, 1374 nt
Filed under: Polistes rothneyi
Lineage: Eukaryota; Metazoa; Arthropoda; Insecta; Hymenoptera; Vespidae
Description: 16S ribosomal RNA
Source: RNAcentral